RNAcentral lists this ribosomal RNA (113 nucleotides) under Acanthosepion pharaonis. The record is from RNAcentral. Lineage: Eukaryota; Metazoa; Mollusca; Cephalopoda; Sepiida; Sepiidae.
UACAGCCAUAUCGCAUUGAAACACUAGUUCUUGUAUGAUCACCAAAGUUAAGCAACAUUGAGUUUGGUCUGCACCUGGAUGGGUUACUGCUUGGGAAUACCAGGUGCUGUAAG